AAAAAAAAGAGAGAAGGGAGGAUGAUUCUCUUUUCCAAAUAAAAUUAAAUUCACAAACUUGUUGCGUAAGGAUUAUGAUAGCGGGUACAAUUUGCCAAUAUUUUUACUUUUUCUGAUAGGUUUUUUUUUUUCUUUUUUUUGUUGUUAUUUAUUUUUGAAGGGAGUGUUUGAGGGUUUGAAACAGAGGGUUUGUUUAUUUAUAAAUUAUUUAUUAGUUGCUUGUUAAAAUGUUUAAUAUAAAUUAUUACCAUAUGACUUAGACUUUUCAAAGAACACAAAAGGUCAGAAUGAAUAAAUUAUUAGAUUCGCAUUUACAGCCUAGGUAUGUAUUUGAUAUACUUCAUUUAUCUGAGUAGGACA
This 360-nucleotide long non-coding RNA is filed under the name Ananas comosus (pineapple). RNAcentral's name for it is "long non-coding RNA (ACOM_LNC032162)". The record is from RNAcentral. Lineage: Eukaryota; Viridiplantae; Streptophyta; Magnoliopsida; Poales; Bromeliaceae.